RNAcentral lists this ribosomal RNA (384 nucleotides) under uncultured bacterium. Its description in RNAcentral is "bacterial SSU rRNA". It matches the Rfam family "Bacterial small subunit ribosomal RNA", at positions 137 to 507 of the family's 1533-position model. The record is from RNAcentral.
UGGGGGAUAACAUUUGGAAACAGAUGCUAAUACCGCAUAAAACCUAACACCGCAUGGUGUAGGGUUGAAAGAUGGUUUCGGCUAUCACUUUAGGAUGGACCCCGCGGUGCAUUAGUUAGUUGGUGAGGUAAAGGCUCACCAAGACCGUGAUGCAUAGCCGACCUGAGAGGGUAAUCGGCCACACUGGGACUGAGACACGGCCCAGACUCCUACGGGAGGCAGCAGUAGGGAAUCUUCCACAUGGACGAAAGUCUGAUGGAGCAACGCCGCGUGAGUGAAGAAGGUUUUCGGAUCGUAAAACUCUGUUGUUGGAGAAGAAUGUAUCUGAUAGUAACUGAUCAGGUAGUGACGGUAUCCAACCAGAAAGCCACGGCUAACUACGUG